Molecule: ribosomal RNA, 732 nt
Filed under: Frigoribacterium sp. GZYR-6
Lineage: Bacteria; Bacillati; Actinomycetota; Actinomycetes; Micrococcales; Microbacteriaceae
Description: bacterial SSU rRNA
Rfam family: Bacterial small subunit ribosomal RNA
Source: RNAcentral
CGAACGAUGAACUCCAGCUUGCUGGGGGGAUUAGUGGCGAACGGGUGAGUAACACGUGAGUAACCUGCCCUUGACUCUGGGAUAAGCGCUGGAAACGGCGUCUAAUACCGGAUACGAGCUUCAGCCGCAUGGCUAGGAGUUGGAAAGAAUUUUGGUCAAGGAUGGACUCGCGGCCUAUCAGCUAGUUGGUGAGGUAAUGGCUCACCAAGGCGACGACGGGUAGCCGGCCUGAGAGGGUGACCGGCCACACUGGGACUGAGACACGGCCCAGACUCCUACGGGAGGCAGCAGUGGGGAAUAUUGCACAAUGGGCGCAAGCCUGAUGCAGCAACGCCGCGUGAGGGAUGACGGCCUUCGGGUUGUAAACCUCUUUUAGUAGGGAAGAAGCGAAAGUGACGGUACCUGCAGAAAAAGCACCGGCUAACUACGUGCCAGCAGCCGCGGUAAUACGUAGGGUGCAAGCGUUGUCCGGAAUUAUUGGGCGUAAAGAGCUCGUAGGCGGUUUGUCGCGUCUGCUGUGAAAUCUGGGGGCUCAACCCCCAGCCUGCAGUGGGUACGGGCAGACUAGAGUGCGGUAGGGGAGAUUGGAAUUCCUGGUGUAGCGGUGGAAUGCGCAGAUAUCAGGAGGAACACCGAUGGCGAAGGCAGAUCUCUGGGCCGUAACUGACGCUGAGGAGCGAAAGCGUGGGGAGCGAACAGGAUUAGAUACCCUGGUAGUCCACGCCGUAAACG